Molecule: long non-coding RNA, 4968 nt
Filed under: Anas zonorhyncha (Eastern spot-billed duck)
Lineage: Eukaryota; Metazoa; Chordata; Aves; Anseriformes; Anatidae
Description: lncRNA (ENSAZOG00000005270.1)
Source: RNAcentral
UUGGGGCCCUGUCCUUGUGCCACCUUUGUGGGAAGAAGCAGGACGGGGAGGGGAAGGGCAGCAGCCACUGGCCCAUUCCUCCCCCUGCCCGGCGCGACUCAGGGCUGCACACCCCUACCUUCCUUGCCUUUGGGGCUGUCCUGGGGCACCUGCCCAGAACAAGCGCUCCUCCUCUGCCUGCCCCUCCUGCUCUGCCACCCUCAGUCCCCCUGUGCUUUCCUCCCGGCAGCCUCCACCCCCAAAGAGACAACGGUGCCUCACAUCGUGCCGCCCGUGAGCACGGAGAAGACCACCCCGGCCACGUCUGCCAGCAGCACCUCCAGGACGUCCGUGCCCAGCGAGGCCAGCCCCGCCAGCAGCCCAGCAGUGCCAGUGGCCAGGACGUCGCCUGCCCCCAGCAGCCCUCUCAGCACCAGGCUGCCAUCUGCCGCCCCUUCCACAGCCUCCUCCCCGUCGCCCCCAAGCUCCCGGCUCAGGCCCACACCUACGACCCUGAGGCCCAAGCCCUCUCCCCCGAGGACCAGUGCUCCCACAGAGUCGCCUGCGUCCUCCGCACCCUCCACAGCCAAAACCAGCCCGCUGCCCUCAUCUACGUCCUCCCCACUCUCAACUGUGUCCUCAGCAGUGCCGAGCUCCUCACAGCCAGCCUCCACCCCCAAAGAGACAACGGUGCCUCACAUCGUGCCACCCGUGAGCACGGAGAAGACCACCCCGGCCACGUCUGCCAGCAGCACCUCCAGGACGUCCGUGCCCAGCGAGGCCAGCCCCGCCAGCAGCCCAGCAGUGCCAGUGGCCAGGACGUCGCCUGCCCCCAGCAGCCCUCUCAGCACCAGGCUGCCAUCUGCUGCCCCUUCCACAGCCUCCUCCCCGUUGCCCCCAACAAAGUCCAUGCCUACAGCCUUCAUUCCCACUUUGACCUCCUCUGAGAGUACCACUUAUUCUUCCCCCUCACCAAACACCACAGUUUCUUUUACUCCACGUGGUGAAACAUUUUCAGUAGCACUUCCAACUGCUGUCUCUUCCAAAUCCACCCCAGUUGUGAUCCCAAGAGUGUUACCUACAACAACUGUGUUUCCUCCCAGUUUUGUUACCACUGCUUCUACAGAGACCCCUUCUGUUGAACAGACUUCUAUCCGAACAACUACACUAACUACCAGGCGUACUACAUCAUCUCUUUCUGUUACAUCUGAACUUUCAACAUCCCUGUCUUCUGUUAGACCAGCUACAGUACCACAAGGUAAAGUAUUUCUUUAGUUUAUCCUACUUUGUUGCUUAGUACAUCUUUUGGUUCAUACUUAUUAAUUUUUGGGACAUUUCUUAUUUUUUUGCUAUGUCACAUUUUGCUUGUACACUUUGACUGUAUCUUCCUCUUUUAUCAUUACUGCAUAUUACUUUCUAACACCUAUAGUUGUCUUGUUGUCAUUUUCAUACCAGCAGGCUUCCUGCAGUGCAUUGAUGCAUACGCUAAGAAACACGAGUUCAGGCUGACAGGACAUUUACCAGGGAGAAAGUCAUAGAAUCUAUUUCUAUUUAAAAAUCUUAUUUUAAUGGUGUAAGAAAGACANNNNNNNNNNUACACUUUGACUGUAUCUUCCUCUUUUAUCAUUACUGCAUAUUACUUUCUAACACCUAUAGUUGUCUUGGUGUCGUUUUCAUACCAGCAGGCUUCCUGCAGUGCAUUGAUGCAUACACUAAGAAACACGAGUUCAGGCUGACAGGACAUUUACCAGGGAGAAAGUCAUAGAAUCUAUUUCUAUUUAAAAAUCUUAUUUUAAUGGUGUAAGAAAGACACCAGUUAUUUGGACAAACUAUUGCUUUACCUCAUUCUACAGUCCUUCUAUUAACUUUCAUACACUUUCUGAAAAUGCUUUUUUUUUUUCUUUUUGAAUUUUUUGAUACCUUCUCCACAGCUAAUUUUUUUCCAGUGUUGGCUAGGUACAGUAAUGGUCUUUUGCACCUCUGCGUAAAUAAAACCUAGCAGUUUUGGACUGAAGCAUAGCACACUCUUUACAAUUCUUCGUAACUUUUUUGAAAGGGAGGUGCACAGAGCAGCAUCAUUCCUAAUGGUUUGAACUGAAGCUUUCCUACUUUAUAACCUACAGGGCUGGAGUCAGGAGCACUGGCGUGAGUGCACAGAUACCUAGUAACAGGCAGUGAAGCAGUUCUCAUUCAGCACUUCUAGGGUAUGCAUUAACCCUUCUAAGAAUAAACUGAAAUGAACGGUGCUUUUUUCAAUCUGUGAAUGGAAGUAGAAUUUCCUGUGUGGUUUGUUGAUUUGUUAUUUUGUUUUCGGUGGUAAUGUUUUAUGGAUGUUUAUAUGUCUUAAUUUUUUUUGUUUGUUUUUUAUUUUUAUUUUUAUAUUUAUAUAUUUUUAUAUGUCUUAAAAUUGCUGUUUGAAGACCCAGGAGAGAAUUGACAUCUCAAUUUCAGCUACUUCCUGCAUUCCCUUUUGGGUUAGUUCCACAAAGAAAGGAGAAAUGAUCUGGAAGGUGUACCGCAACCAUAUCAUACUGCUUUCUCUUCCUGUAACUGUUCCUUCUCCACUGUCAUGCACCACUGUCUCUAUCCAUUGUCCUCUUCAUUUGUUUAAUUCCUAAAGAAAGGGAACCUCACCUCCAACAUGUUACUGCCUUCACUUGCCUGAUCUUUUUCAAGAGUUAUGGCCUCAUAGGUCUGCCCUUUUCUACACUGCUUGAUAACAAGAUUAUAAGUAUUUGUUUGAAGCAUUCGAUAAUUUUCACUAUUUGCUAUUUCCUUAGCUGCUAUGAAUCUUCACACGCAGUCUGCCAUUCCUUCACUACGAUCAGAGCAACUGAACCAUAAGCUUAUCACUAACAGCAACAAAAUUUGAACAAAGCAGAAUACCACACUCAAGUCAUCCCAACAGUCAUCUGUCAAGUCUCACUGCACAAAACCGAUUUACACACAGGAUCCCCAAAAGUCAACUAAGGAAACUGUUUGCAGUGAACUGCUCUCAAAUAGUGAUGUGACUCAAUGUGUGGCGCAAUCACCUUAGCCCACCCUCCUGUCCCUGUCUCCUCCAUUAACUUUGUCAGCAGAGAGCAGCUCAUCCAGGUCAGCCAGCUCAGCCACAAGGAAGGUCAGAAUUGUGCAGUGGGAGCACGCCCAGAAGCAAGCACUUGAAUGCACAGUCUGUCCUUCAUCCCACUUUACAUAAAUAAUGCAGUACCAAACAGCUCAAUUAUAUAUUUAAUAGUAGAAACCAGAAUUGGAUGAAUGCACAAGCAUCAGCAAAUGGUGGUUUGACACAAGAAGAUGGGAUUCUUUCUAUUGUGCAACUAUUUUUGGCCCUUCUUUCCCUGCCUCCUCACAAUUUUCACCUCACAGAACAGGAAUACAAUUAGGAACUCCCCUAAGCAGAAGGGCUUUCCCUCAUGUUCCCAAAUAUAUUUGUUUUGCUGCCUUCUUUGGCUUUUAUUUGCAUUCAGUUUUGAAGAUAGUUCUUUUGAACUCUGCCUUCCCAACCAUACCAUUACCAGGUUAGGUCCUUGCUGUUAACAGGCACUGCCUCCUGGUUCAGUUCAUAAAUUCAGAGUUGUGUACAAAUUCUCCUUUCUCUGCACAUUUGUCUGCCCUCAACUGAGCAAUUCACAUACUUGUCAGUCACACAGAUUAACAAUACCUUUCAGUCUAGAAAGCAAGGUUAGAGCCUCUCAUCAACUUUACAAGAUACAAGCAGAGGACAGCACAUUAGUGUGGUGUGCCAUUAGCUGCCUUUUUCUAAACCCCCUACAGUAUAACUGAGCCCCCUCAACAACGCUUGGCUUUCAUCCAUAACCUGCUUCAAGCUAGGAACCUGAAUGCGCUCGACAGAGCAUGCUGCAGGAGCAGUGUGGGGUGCAUAAACUGCCUUCACAGGGUUCUUCAUGUUAAGGGGUACAAACCACAAUGUUUAACCUCUUCAGCUCAUUUGAAAACUUCACUUUCAUUCAACUUUUUGCUUCAUAUGAUGCCUAGUGUCUUGCUUCAAGUCAGGAGAUGACCAGAAAAAGUGCAAGAUCAAUACAUAACACCAUUACCUUCCAAGUAGCAUUAUGCGUUCUAUUUAGAGAUUUAAAUUAUGAAAUUUUGGCUUACGUUAUUAUAAAAUUUAUAAAAUAUGCCUGGAAAUAAAUAAAUCCUUAAAAUGAGCUAAUUAAGCAUUUUUCAAGUAAGUCACAUCUAUUACCAAGUCUGUGAACCAGAAAUAAUUCUGCUGGAAUUAGCCAGCUGAUGGUUUUAUUUGCAUCUUUGCUUUCUCAUCAGUGGAUUAGGGCUUUUUCCUCCUGGACUUAAUUUGCAUUCCAUUGUUAACAGAUUUUUCUUUUUUUUUCUUUUUUUUUUUUUGUUUUGUUUUGGUUUGGUUUUUUCUUUUUUUCCCUUCUCAUUUCUAUUUCCAGCUGCGUGUAUUUUCAUAGCUGUCCUGCUAUGUCACCAUCUCACAGUUUCAGUUCCUAAAAACCUUCUCUUGCCAUGUUACUUACUGGUGACUUGUCAAUCCUCCUUCAGUCCCUCCGAAGUCAUGCAAUAGGAACGGUUUUGCAGGAACCUGAGUACAGAGGCUUUCGGCAUCCAUCAAAAGUCACACUAGAAGACUAAGAUAAAUUUUUAUUUUUUAAUGUUUGACAGAGAAUUGCCUAAAAGUCGAAUAUGAAGAAAAAAUAACUUACAAAGGCUGUUCUGCUAACAUCACUUUGAGCCGAUGUGAAGGAUCAUGUCCAUCUUCAACAACGUAAGGAUACUUGAGAGCUUCUGUAUCAUAAAUACAGUGAAGUUCUUUCUUAUCUAUGAAUACUGAUCUUUGUCAACUGCCUCUCCUUUAUAAUUCAGUGAGAAAAAGCUUUGUGGUAUUUAUCUAGCAACAGUGUGGCACUAUAGGCCAGGUAGCUAGAGCUAGCACUAAUACAGGUCAAAUAGUCUGUAGAGAUCUACAGUUUAAACAGGGAAUGUCUCCUCACUUAAGUUUUG